GCGCGCCCUCGGCUGCGGGGUAGCGGGCAGCCCUGCGCUGCCGGCCGCCUAGCCUGCACCCCCCGCCCUGGGAGGGAAGCCUCGCUCCAGCCGCGUCGUUUCCGCGCCGAAGUGCGAUCCGGGGCCCCGCGCUGGAGUCCCCUGCUCUCAGGCUGGUCUGGAAGGUGGUGGUGGGGUUCAGGGUCCCCGGAAAGCUGGGGUUCCAGGGUAAACACCAGUACACAAACAAAGCGGUGGGGGAGGGGAAAGAAAAAGUUUUUCCGUUUGGUGUUGGGGCUAAAAGGGUCAUGUCAGAAAGCAGUGUGCUCUAUGUGUUCUUAAUGCCUAAAGUGGGCCUUAAAACAAGGGUCCCUGUCCCCACGUUCUCUCUAAAAGUCUGCAUGAUGUCCCUCGUCAUUUCUACGGGUUAUAAGUGAGCAAGACGUUUACCACGUAUCACACUUCUGGGGGCUAUUUCAACGCCCAAGCUGGGGCUGCAGAAUGGUUUCUGUUCUAAUCCUCCCCCGCGAUUUCCACCUCUUUACACUCAACUCACAGAAAAUAGAGUCUGAUGCAUUCUGUGUUUCAUCACCGGUCAAAAGUGACUUUGAGGGUAGGGUGGAGGCCUGAGAAGGGCAGCUUCAGGCAAUAGUAAUCCUGAAAUUUAUCAUUGCUCAAAAUAAAUGUGCUCACCUUAUUAAAAAGUACAACGGAAAGCCACCUUUAAGAUAAGUAGCAACCAAGUCGUUAAACAGCAGUCUUCAAGGAAGAACUCCUGAUCUCAUAAGGCUGGAGAAAAAACGGGGUUAGCCUUUGCUGGUGAAAAAAAAAAAAAAAGACAUUCGAAACUGCAGUGAAGGGCUUUCAUAACAGAAACAUUAGCUUCAUUGUAGCUUGUCGUGGAAAACAGGGACCUUUUAAUAGGUGGUUCAAAAGCAUCAGUUAGGGCUCAACAAUUUUCCUUUUUUCCCCAAAUACUGCUUCUCCUAGCACAUUGGCCAGAUAAAACCUCCCCCCUUUCAAUGCUUCAUCUUUUUAUGAAAACACAGGAAACCAUAAACUUGAGUGAAGGCUUUGUUCAGAAAGGUGGAUGUAAGACUGAUGGAAAAUGACAUUUGGGAAAUGAUCCCCAGGUCUGUGUUAAUCUCUCAUGGAAAGCCACAGACUCACCCAAAGAUAGGCGUAUGAAGAUCGAAGCUCUCCUAGCAACAUGAAAUCCUCCACGUUGCAGCUGCUACGCCCUAGUUCUGAUUUUUACUAAGACAUUAAUGGCACAUUAUAAAUACAAAAUGUGCAAUGCAAGAAAAAUAAUACUGCUUUGAGAAAUAACUGCAUCAUUAGACUCAAUAAUUAAAGUUCCCUGAAAUUCUUCUUACAUCACGCUAUUGUGGGGAGAUGGUGAAGGGAUUGCCCAUUUCAAUUUUGGAAUAAAUAGAAGUAAUUCCUUAGUGCAUUCUGCUUAAGGCAACCAAUGAGAGAAUAUGUUAGCCAGGCUUCUAAAGGCAAUCAUGUGAUACUCCAUAUUUGCUAAAACAAGAGCUGAAUAUUUUUUUUGUUCCAUAUGCAAUUCCAAAUUUUCAGUCACAAUUUCAUGAAUAUUCAGUAUUUCUGCAUGCCCAGGAGUAAUUAGCAGACAGUGUAAAUGUGUGAAGGCCUGACACUUACACAUACAUUGCUUUUUUCUCUAUGUAAGGUGGCAGUUGCUGGAGUACCAGGGCACCAAGUGGAGGAUGUGGUAGACAGCCUCUAAGAUGCGCCCCCUGCCAAUGAUCUCUGCCUCCAGGGAGGAGCUAGAAGGCAGAGAGAAAGCCACUCAGGACUUCCCAUCCCAGAAGAUAAAGGUGAGGAAAGCAGCAGCAGCAGCCACAGGCCAGUAUUCCAGAGCAGCUUUGGGUUCCUGUCAAGACCUGCUUUGAGAAGGAGGUGGCUGUGGGGCUGGAGGGCUGGGCCUGUUCCUGAGCUGGCUGCUGGCAGCACAGCAAUGAGGCAACAUUGAGAACUGCGACACGAGGCCCAGUCCUGCUACUAAACCAACUGUGUGGACUUGCAUAGUCACUUCACCCCUCGGGCCUCCAUUUCUCCACUUUGGAAAGCAGUGUUGGGACGAUGUUAAGGGUUUGCAACCUUCCA
This 2109-nucleotide long non-coding RNA is filed under the name Homo sapiens (human). Its description in RNAcentral is "MIDEAS antisense RNA 1". The record is from RNAcentral. Lineage: Eukaryota; Metazoa; Chordata; Mammalia; Primates; Hominidae.